Long non-coding RNA from Pseudophryne corroboree (corroboree frog), 280 nucleotides. RefSeq lists it as uncharacterized. NCBI's taxonomy places the organism in Eukaryota, Metazoa, Chordata, Amphibia, Anura, Myobatrachidae. The record is from RefSeq and is a predicted model, not a curated record. The transcript has 2 exons.
CCGUUUGGCAAAGUUCUGGCUAAGAGAUUUGCAGAGUGUCGGGUGACCGGCAAAGAGAUCUGCAAAGUGUCAGUUGAAGACGACGGGAGGGGUCGCAGAGGAAUUAGUGACUGGAGAAUAGCAUGCAGGAGUGGGUGAUCCCUGAAUAGCUGCCCUGGGAGGAGAGCUGCGGACACAUGCUCCAAAUGUUGGAACAUAUGCAUUACCUAUUAGGAGAUGCGGUAAAGAUGCCGGCUGUCGGGUUUACGUCAGUCAGAAUACUGACUCUGGGAUCCCGAAA